Molecule: ribosomal RNA, 465 nt
Filed under: uncultured Klebsiella sp.
Lineage: Bacteria; Pseudomonadati; Pseudomonadota; Gammaproteobacteria; Enterobacterales; Enterobacteriaceae
Description: bacterial SSU rRNA
Rfam family: Bacterial small subunit ribosomal RNA
Source: RNAcentral
CCUACGGGUGGCUGCAGUGGGGAAUAUUGCACAGUGGGCGCAAGCCUGAUGCAGCCAUGCCGCGUGUGUGAAGAAGGCCUUCGGGUUGUAAAGCACUUUCAGCGGGGAGGAAGGCGUUAAGGUUAAUAACCUUGGCGAUUGACGUUACCCGCAGAAGAAGCACCGGCUAACUCCGUGCCAGCAGCCGCGGUAAUACGGAGGGUGCAAGCGUUAAUCGGAAUUACUGGGCGUAAAGCGCACGCAGGCGGUCUGUCAAGUCGGAUGUGAAAUCCCCGGGCUCAACCUGGGAACUGCAUUCGAAACUGGCAGGCUAGAGUCUUGUAGAGGGGGGUAGAAUUCCAGGUGUAGCGGUGAAAUGCGUAGAGAUCUGGAGGAAUACCGGUGGCGAAGGCGGCCCCCUGGACAAAGACUGACGCUCAGGUGCGAAAGCGUGGGGAGCAAACAGGAUUAGAUACCCGUGUAGUC